AGCGUACACGGUGGAUGCCUUGGCAGUCAGAGGCGAUGAAGGACGUAUUAACUUGCGAUAAGCCCAGAUUAGGUAGUAAAAACCAUUUGAGUCUGGGAUUUCCGAAUGGGGAAACCCACUAGCAUAAGCUAGUAUCGCUGCGUGAAUACAUAGCGCAGCGAGGCGAACCGGGGGAACUGAAACAUCUAAGUACCCCGAGGAAAAGAAAUCAACCGAGAUUCCGAAAGUAGCGGCGAGCGAAAUUGGACUAGCCCUUAAGCUUUUUAUGCGUCAGGUGAAACUUCUGGAAAGUUGUGCGAUACAGGGUGAUAGCCCCGUAACCGGCAACGCAUAUAAAGUGAAAUCGAGUAGGGCGGGACACGUGAUAUCCUGUCUGAAUAUGGGGGGACCAUCCUCCAAGGCUAAAUACUACUGACUGACCGAUAGUGAACCAGUACCGUGAGGGAAAGGCGAAAAGAACCCCUGUGAGGGGAGUGAAAUAGAACCUGAAACCGUGUACGUACAAGCAGUAGGAGCACCUUCGUGGUGUGACUGCGUACCUUUUGUAUAAUGGGUCAGCGACUUAUAUUCAGUGGCAAGGUUAACCAUCUAGGGGAGCCGUAGGGAAACCGAGUCUUAACUGGGCGUUCAGUCUCUGGAUAUAGACCCGAAACCAGGUGAUCUAGCCAUGGGCAGGUUGAAGGUUGAGUAACAUCAACUGGAGGACCGAACCGACUAAUGUUGAAAAAUUAGCGGAUGACUUGUGGCUAGGGGUGAAAGGCCAAUCAAACCUGGAGAUAGCUGGUUCUCCCCGAAAGCUAUUUAGGUAGCGCCUCGGACGAAUACUACUGGGGGUAGAGCACUGUUAAGGCUAGGGGGUCAUCCCGACUUACCAACCCUUUGCAAACUCCGAAUACCAGUAAGUACUAUCCGGGAGACACACGGCGGGUGCUAACGUCCGUCGUGGAGAGGGAAACAACCCAGACCGCCAGCUAAGGUCCCAAAUUACUACUAAGUGGGAAACGAUGUGGGAAGGCUCAGACAGCCAGGAUGUUGGCUUAGAAGCAGCCAUCAUUUAAAGAAAGCGUAAUAGCUCACUGGUCGAGUCGGCCUGCGCGGAAGAUGUAACGGGGCUAAGUAGUAAACCGAAGCUGCGGCAAUGCACUUUAGUGCAUUGGGUAGGGGAGCGUUCUGUAAGCGGUUGAAGGUGUGUGGUAACGCAUGCUGGACGUAUCAGAAGUGCGAAUGCUGACAUGAGUAACGAUAAAGGGGGUGAAAAACCUCCUCGCCGGAAGACCAAGGGUUCCUGUCCAACGUUAAUCGGGGCAGGGUAAGUCGACCCCUAAGGCGAGGCCGAAAGGCGUAGUCGAUGGGAAACGGGUUAAUAUUCCCGUACUUCUUACAAUUGCGAUGGGGGGACGGAGAAGGCUAGGUGGGCCUGGCGACGGUUGUCCAGGUUCAAGUGCGUAGGCUUAAGAGUUAGGUAAAUCCGGCUCUUUCUAAGGCUGAGACACGACGUCGAGCUACUACGGUAGUGAAGUCAUUGAUGCCAUGCUUCCAGGAAAAGCCUCUAAGCUUCAGAUUGUAAGGAAUCGUACCCCAAACCGACACAGGUGGUCGGGUAGAGAAUACCAAGGCGCUUGAGAGAACUCGGGUGAAGGAACUAGGCAAAAUGGUACCGUAACUUCGGGAGAAGGUACGCUCUCGACGGUGAAGUCCCUUGCGGAUGGAGCUAUUGAGAGUCGCAGAUACCAGGUGGCUGCAACUGUUUAUUAAAAACACAGCACUGUGCAAAAUCGUAAGAUGACGUAUACGGUGUGACGCCUGCCCGGUGCCGGAAGGUUAAUUGAUGGGGUUAGACUUCGGUCGAAGCUCUUGAUCGAAGCCCCGGUAAACGGCGGCCGUAACUAUAACGGUCCUAAGGUAGCGAAAUUCCUUGUCGGGUAAGUUCCGACCUGCACGAAUGGCGUAAUGAUGGCCACGCUGUCUCCACCCGAGACUCAGUGAAAUUGAAAUCGCUGUGAAGAUGCAGUGUACCCGCGGCUAGACGGAAAGACCCCGUGAACCUUUACUACAGCUUGGCACUGAACAUUGACCCUACAUGUGUAGGAUAGGUGGGAGGCUUUGAAGCACAGUCGCUAGAUUGUGUGGAGCCGUCCUUGAAAUACCACCCUUGUAGUGUUGAUGUUCUAACGUUGACCCCUAAUCGGGGUUGCGGACAGUGCCUGGUGGGUAGUUUGACUGGGGCGGUCUCCUCCCAAAGCGUAACGGAGGAGCACGAAGGUGGGCUAAUCACGGUUGGACAUCGUGAGGUUAGUGCAAUGGCAUAAGCCCGCUUGACUGCGAGAAUGACGGUUCGAGCAGGUGCGAAAGCAGGUCAUAGUGAUCCGGUGGUUCUGAAUGGAAGGGCCAUCGCUCAACGGAUAAAAGGUACUCCGGGGAUAACAGGCUGAUACCGCCCAAGAGUUCAUAUCGACGGCGGUGUUUGGCACCUCGAUGUCGGCUCAUCACAUCCUGGGGCUGAAGUCGGUCCCAAGGGUAUGGCUGUUCGCCAUUUAAAGUGGUACGCGAGCUGGGUUUAGAACGUCGUGAGACAGUUCGGUCCCUAUCUGCCGUGGGCGUUGGAAGAUUGAAGGGGGCUGCUCCUAGUACGAGAGGACCGGAGUGGACGAACCUCUGGUGUUCGGGUUGUGUCGCCAGACGCAUUGCCCGGUAGCUAAGUUCGGAAUCGAUAACCGCUGAAAGCAUCUAAGCGGGAAGCGAGCCCUGAGAUGAGUCUUCCCUGAUACUUUAAGUAUCCUAAAGGGUUGU
Molecule: ribosomal RNA, 2790 nt
Filed under: Vibrio harveyi
Lineage: Bacteria; Pseudomonadati; Pseudomonadota; Gammaproteobacteria; Vibrionales; Vibrionaceae
Description: bacterial LSU rRNA
Rfam family: Bacterial large subunit ribosomal RNA
Source: RNAcentral